Long non-coding RNA from Myxocyprinus asiaticus (Chinese sucker), 1734 nucleotides. RefSeq lists it as uncharacterized. Lineage: Eukaryota; Metazoa; Chordata; Actinopteri; Cypriniformes; Catostomidae. The record is from RefSeq and is a predicted model, not a curated record. The transcript is spliced from 5 exons.
AACUGACACCUACCUGUCGCAAAAAUGUCCGCGUCUUCCCUUAUAAAACAUUAAUUAAUCGUAGUGAACUCCACAUAGCUCGUUUAGUGUAAAACAUGUUUAGAUUAGCAGGAAGACAGUCAGUUCAUUAAGUGAUGAGCUGUUUCCUCACAAAAGCAGUUUAUGAGCGUUACGCUAUUUGAUGCUACGCUUGUAGGCUCCUUUGGGAGGGCUCUGGUUUAGGCGUUCACCUCGCUCGAGUCCUUUCGACACGUUUGUCCAGAUUCGGAUAGCUGUUAUCUAUUUCUCAAACAUUUCCAUCAGCAAAGGAAUUCUUUUUCAUACCAGCAAUUACAUUUACACACAGAUUCGUCCAGUCCAGAUGAUUCUGUGAUGCGGAUUCUUCUGUCGGGCAGAAAGGGUUCUGGGAAAGUUCAUCUGGGAACACAAUACUAGGACAAAAGAAGUUUAAAGUUCACAAACAGAAGAGAAAUCAUGAAGCAGAUGUUUGUGAGGAUACAUCACACAUCAAUGAAAACCAGAGUUUGAUGAUGGAGAAUAUUAAUGUGACGUGUGGACAGAUUCAGACUGCUGUGGGGUUUGUGUACAGAGUAUCAUCUGUGAUACUGAAUCAAACUCAGAAUCCUGAUUGUGAUCAGGCCUGGUACACACAGGUGAUGAUGAUGAUGAGUGUUUCUCAGUCAGUUCUUCACAUGGAGACAGACACGUGAUGUAACUGUGUUUGAUUGUGAUCAGUCCUGGUGCACACAGGUGAUGAUGAAGAGUGUUUCUCAGUUAGUUCUUCACAUGGAGACAGACACGUGAUGUAACUGUGUUUGAUUGUGAUCAGUCCUGGUGCACACAGGUGAUGAUGAAGAGUGUUUCUCAGUUAGUUCUUCACAUGGAGACAGACACGUGAUGUAAUUGUGUUUGAUUGUGAUCAGUCCUGGUGCACACAGGUGAUGAUGAAGAGUGUUUCUCAGUUAGUUCUUCACAUGGAGAAGAGACACGUGAUGUAAUUGUGUUUGAUUGUGAUCAGUCCUGGUGCACACAGGUGAUGAUGAUGAGUGUUUCUCAGUUAGUUCUUCACAUGGAGACAGACACGUGAUGUAAUUGUGUUUGAUUGUGAUCAGUCCUGGUGCACACAGGUGAUGAUGAAGAGUGUUUCUCAGUUAGUUCUUCACAUGGAGAAGAGACACGUGAUGUAAUUGUGUUUGAUUGUGAUCAGUCCUGGUGCACACAGGUGAUGAUGAUGAGUGUUUCUCAGUCAGUUCUUCACAUGGAGACAGACACGUGAUGUAAUUGUGUUUGAUUGUGAUCAGUCCUGGUGCACACAGGUGAUGAUGAAGAGUGUUUCUCAGUUAGUUCUUCACAUGGAGAAGAGACACGUGAUGUAAUUGUGUUUGAUUGUGAUCAGUCCUGGUGCACACAGGUGAUGAUGAUGAGUGUUUCUCAGUCAGUUCUUCACAUGGAGACAGACACGUGAUGUAAUUGUGUUUGAUUGUGAUCAGUCCUGGUGCACACAGGUGAUGAUGAGUGUUUCUCAGUUAGUUCUUCACAUGGAGACAGACACGUGAUGUAAUUGUGUUUGAUUGUGAACAGUCCUGGUGCACACAGGUGAUGAUGAAGAGUGUUUCUCAGUUAGUUCUUCACAUGGAGACAGACACGUGAUGUAAUUGUGUUUGAUUGUGAUCAGUCCUGGUGCACACAGGAUGGUGUUGUGAUAGCAGAUCCAUCAUAUAACAGAUGGACUGA